This 497-nucleotide ribosomal RNA is filed under the name uncultured bacterium. RNAcentral describes it as "partial 16S ribosomal RNA". It matches the Rfam family "Bacterial small subunit ribosomal RNA", at positions 28 to 507 of the family's 1533-position model. The record is from RNAcentral.
GAUGAACGCUGGCGGCGUGCCUAAUACAUGCAAGUCGAGCGAACAGACGAGGAGCUUGCUCCUCUGACGUUAGCGGCGGACGGGUGAGUAACACGUGGAUAACCUACCUAUAAGACUGGGAUAACUUCGGGAAACCGGAGCUAAUACCGGAUAAUAUAUUGAACCGCAUGGUUCAAUAGUGAAAGACGGUUUUGCUGUCACUUAUAGAUGGAUCCGCGCCGCAUUAGCUAGUGGGUAAGGUAACGGCUUACCCAGGCAACGAUGCGUAGACGACCUGAGAGAGUGAUCGGCCACAUGGGAGCGGAGACACGGUCCAGACUCCUACGGGAGGCAGCAGUAGCGAAUCUUCCGCAAUGGGCGAAAGCUUGACGGAGCAAGGCCGCGUGAGUGAUGAAGGUCUUCGGAUCGUAAAACUCGGUUAUUAGGGAAGAACAAAUGUGUAAGUAACUAUGCACGUCUUGACGGUACCUAAUCAGAAAGCCACGGCUAACUACGUG